Molecule: long non-coding RNA, 1070 nt
Organism: Silurus meridionalis
Lineage: Eukaryota; Metazoa; Chordata; Actinopteri; Siluriformes; Siluridae
Exons: 2
Source: RefSeq, a predicted model, not a curated record
UAGAUAUUUAGAUGUUUGUGUUUCAGGGUCAGGAAACAUCUUCAGCAUCACAGCAGUUGUAUGCAGGAUGCAGGAAAUACACGUGUAACGAAAUAACGGAGGUACCGGUUCGCUGUUGCGCACGCGCCGAGUAAGUGGGCGGAGUUAGUGAGUGUGCGGCGCGUGCUGACCGGCGUGUCUGGAGCGUGGGUUCUGUGUUUGUUCUUCAACAUUUAAGUUACGUUUAUUUCUAGAAUAAUCCACUGGAUUCUGCAGAUUGUGCUUGAUCUACUCGGAGAAGGAGGCCAUGGGCUCAGACAUACAGAGCAGAAGAGCAGCAUUUCAUGUUCAGUUUCUGCAGAGACUCCGAGAAGCUCACCAAGCUGUUUAUUUUUACACGUGAGCACUUUUCCUGCCCUUACAGAGGUUCUUCUGAGGGGACACGUAGGACGACAUAACAGGCCCCAAGUUCUCACUGAACUGUUAGCAAAAAACCUGAAACUGAGGAAAAGUAAAUCCUCCACUGGACUGAAGCACACAUUUUUCUAAUCUAAUUUUAUUGCCUAAUUCAGAAAUUCAUAAUGAUGGUGUUUUUAAAAAGUUUGAGUGAAGAAUGUCGGACAUGGAUCUUUCCAGAACCUUCAGAUUUCUGAUUAAAUUAGACUCUGAAAUAAAUGAUUUAAUUCAAAUUCACAAAAUGAACCAUAAAGAAAGUCAGAAAAGCUGAAGCUCUUCACGCGUUUGACUGAUCACAGGACGCAGUUCACUCACUAGUUUUUAUUCACAAAUAUUAACUUAUUAAUAAAAACAAUUACACACAGCAACACGAGUUUAAAAUGAAAUCAUGGACACACACACACACACACACACACACACACACAGGGAACAAAGCGGGUCCACGUGCGUGUGUGACGUUAACAGUCAAUUCAUGUUAAAAUUGUUUUAUUUUGUAUAGUUUUCAAUUUAAUCGCGAACGCGUGCGCACACAAUCAGUACACAGACAAAUCCCUUAAAAAAUAAUCUGCAGCGCCGCCUGGUGGCUACUUCCGGUAACUCCGGAUCACAUCGAGUAUUACAAAAUAGUGUCCGUU